CCAAUAGCGUAUAUUAAAGUUGUUGCAGUUAAAAAGCUCGUAGUUGAAUUUUGGAUUCUGCCAGUUGGUCCAUCUUUUGAUGAGUACUGAUUGUGUGGGGUCUAUCCGCCUGGUGAUACGUAUUGUACUUUAUUGUAUGUUGCGGGUAGUCAGGACCUUUAUCUUGAAAAAAUUAGAGUGUUUAAAGCAGGCUUAUGCCGGAAUACAUUAGCAUGGAAUAAUAGAAUAGGACGAUGUUGUUUUAUUUUGUUGGUUUCUAGGACAACCGUAAUGAUUAAUAGGGAUAGUUGGGGGCAUUAGUAUUCAAUUGUCAGAGGUGAAAUUCUUGGAUUUAUUGAAGACUAACUACUGCGAAAGCAUUUGCCAAGGAUGUUUUCAUUAAUCAAGAACGAAAGUUAGGGGAUCGAAGACGAUCAGAUACCGUCGUAGUCUUAACCAUAAACUAUGCCGACUAGGGAUCGGGCGAUGUUGUUUCCAUGACUCGCUCGGCACCUUAUG
This 498-nucleotide ribosomal RNA is filed under the name uncultured Archaeospora. RNAcentral describes it as "SSU rRNA". It matches the Rfam family "Eukaryotic small subunit ribosomal RNA", at positions 591 to 1092 of the family's 1831-position model. The record is from RNAcentral. Lineage: Eukaryota; Fungi; Glomeromycota; Glomeromycetes; Archaeosporales; Archaeosporaceae.